RNAcentral lists this ribosomal RNA (254 nucleotides) under uncultured bacterium. RNAcentral describes it as "partial 16S ribosomal RNA". It matches the Rfam family "Bacterial small subunit ribosomal RNA", at positions 524 to 776 of the family's 1533-position model. The record is from RNAcentral.
UACAGAGGUCCCAAGCGUUGUUCGGAUUCACUGGGCGUAAAGGGUGCGUAGGUGGCUACUUUAAGUUUGAUGCGAAAGCUCCGGGCUCAACCCGGAAAUGGCAUUGAAGACUAUUGAGCUAGAGGUUUGGAGGGGGGACUGGAAUGCUUGGUGUAGCAGUGAAAUGCGUAGAUAUCAAGCGGAACACCGGUGGCGAAGGCGAGUCCCUGGACAACACCUGACACUGAGGCACGAAAGCUAGGGGAGCAAACAGG